This 213-nucleotide long non-coding RNA is filed under the name Lathyrus oleraceus (garden pea). RNAcentral's name for it is "Pisum sativum (pea) long non-coding RNA (PSAT_LNC041969)". Lineage: Eukaryota; Viridiplantae; Streptophyta; Magnoliopsida; Fabales; Fabaceae. The record is from RNAcentral.
UGUGAGCUUUUGAAUUGCCUUGAUUUUCAUUUGUUUGUGAAAUGCUUGUUCUUUAUCCUAUGGAUGUGAAAUUUUGCACAUUGUUUCUAGACAUAUUAGAGGUUGUUUUGGCUUUGAUUUGAGGUUUUUACCUUGAUUCAUUUCUGUUUUAGGCUUGUGCUAAGUUGGUGUAACAUUUGGUGUCAUAUUUGAGCUUGUUUUGAUUGCCUUGCC